This 625-nucleotide ribosomal RNA is filed under the name Arthrobacter sp. D72. RNAcentral's name for it is "bacterial SSU rRNA". It matches the Rfam family "Bacterial small subunit ribosomal RNA", at positions 215 to 850 of the family's 1533-position model. The record is from RNAcentral. Lineage: Bacteria; Bacillati; Actinomycetota; Actinomycetes; Micrococcales; Micrococcaceae.
GUGGUUUUGGAUGGACUCACGGCCUAUCAGCUUGUUGGUGGGUUAAUGGCCUACCAAGGCGACGACGGGUAGCCGGCCUGAGAGGGUGGACGGCCACACUGGGACUGAGACACGGCCCAGACUCCUACGGGAGGCAGCAGUGGGGAAUAUUGCACAAUGGGCGCAAGCCUGAUGCAGCGACGCCGCGUGAGGGAUGAAGGCCUUCGGGUUGUAAACCUCUUUCAGUAGGGAAGAAGCGAAAGUGACGGUACCUGCAGAAGAAGCGCCGGCUAACUACGUGCCAGCAGCCGCGGUAAUACGUAGGGCGCAAGCGUUAUCCGGAAUUAUUGGGCGUAAAGAGCUCGUAGGCGGUUUGUCGCGUCUGCCGUGAAAGUCCGGGGCUUAACUCCCGAUCUGCGGUGGGUACGGGCAGACUUGAGUGAUGUAGGGGAGACUGGAAUUCCUGGUGUAGCGGUGAAAUGCGCAGAUAUCAGGAGGAACACCGAUGGCGAAGGCAGGUCUCUGGGCAUUAACUGACACUGAGGAGCAAAAGCAUGGCGAGCGAACAGGAUUAGAUACCCUGGUACUCCAUGCCGUAAACGUUGGGCACUAGAUGUGGGGGACAUUCCACGUUUUCCGCGCCGUA